GGGUUGUGAGGUUAAGCGACUAAGCGUACACGGUGGAUGCCCUGGCAGUCAGAGGCGAUGAAGGACGUGCUAAUCUGCGAUAAGCGUCGGUGAGGUGAUAUGAACCGUUAUAACCGGCGAUUUCCGAAUGGGGAAACCCAGUGUGUUUCGACACACUAUCAUUAACUGAAUCCAUAGGUUAAUGAGGCGAACCGGGGGAACUGAAACAUCUAAGUACCCCGAGGAAAAGAAAUCAACCGAGAUUCCCCCAGUAGCGGCGAGCGAACGGGGAGCAGCCCAGAGCCUGAAUCAGUGUGUGUGUUAGUGGAAGCGUCUGGAAAGGCGCGCGAUACAGGGUGACAGCCCCGUACACAA
Molecule: ribosomal RNA, 354 nt
Filed under: Escherichia coli
Lineage: Bacteria; Pseudomonadati; Pseudomonadota; Gammaproteobacteria; Enterobacterales; Enterobacteriaceae
Description: partial 23S ribosomal RNA
Rfam family: Bacterial large subunit ribosomal RNA
Source: RNAcentral